This 488-nucleotide ribosomal RNA is filed under the name uncultured bacterium. Its description in RNAcentral is "partial 16S ribosomal RNA". It matches the Rfam family "Bacterial small subunit ribosomal RNA", at positions 30 to 507 of the family's 1533-position model. The record is from RNAcentral.
AUUGAACGCUGGCGGCAUGCUUUACACAUGCAAGUCGAACGGCAGCACAGGGAGCUUGCUCCUGGGUGGCGAGUGGCGAACGGGUGAGUAAUGUAUCGGAACGUGCCUGGUAGUGGGGGAUAACUACUCGAAAGAGUGGCUAAUACCGCAUGAGAUCUUUGGAUGAAAGCGGGGGACCUUCGGGCCUCGUGCUACUGGAGCGGCCGAUAUCCGAUUAGGUUGUUGGUGGGGUAAAGGCCUACCAAGCCUGCGAUCUGUAGCUGGUCUGAGAGGACGACCAGCCACACGGGGACUGAGACACGGCCCAGACUCCUACGGGAGGCAGCAGUGGGGAAUUUUGGACAAUGGGCGCAAGCCUGAUCCAGCAAUGCCGCGUGCAGGACGAAGGCCUUCGGGUUGUAAACUGCUUUUGUACAGAACGAAAAGUCUCUGGCUAAUAUCUAGAGAUCAUGACGGUACUGUAAGAAUAAGCACCGGCUAACUACGUG